Molecule: unclassified non-coding RNA, 255 nt
Filed under: uncultured fungus
Lineage: Eukaryota; Fungi
Description: partial contains small subunit ribosomal RNA, internal transcribed spacer 1, and 5.8S ribosomal RNA
Rfam family: Eukaryotic small subunit ribosomal RNA (bases 1-73)
Source: RNAcentral
GCAAACUUGGUCAUUUAGAGGAAGUAAAAGUCGUAACAAGGUUUCCGUAGGUGAACCUGCGGAAGGAUCAUUGAUAAGUGUUUGGGAGAGAGAAUUCUCUGUUUCCCAUUAACCAUGUGAAUUACGCGCUCUGUGGAUGGGUUCACACUCUCCAUGGGAGCGUGGGGAGAUAAACGAGAAAAAUGUAUUUGAAAAAUGAUAAAAAAAACUUUUAACAAUGGAUCUCUUGGCUCUUGCAUCGAUGAAGAACGCAGC